Zootermopsis nevadensis is the source of this 421-nucleotide long non-coding RNA. RefSeq lists it as uncharacterized. NCBI's taxonomy places the organism in Eukaryota, Metazoa, Arthropoda, Insecta, Blattodea, Termopsidae. The record is from RefSeq and is a predicted model, not a curated record.
UUGGACCUUGAAAACAAAGACCGUGAUCGGAUCACAACUUUCAGGGUCAAUCAUGAGGAGGAUAACGUGGCCAAUGGCCAUGCGCAAUUAGUUUCAGCUACGUCUUUGCAGUUCACAUGCAGGGAGCAGCGAAUGACAUAGAACAUGGAGCUAAGCAACAUUUGAAGUGGUGUGACCGAACGAGGUGACGAAGAGAACACGGGAUUUUGGAGUCGGUCCUGCAUUCCACAGAAACAUGGAGGCGAAGCGUGUUACAAACAGCAGAUCCUUGGAGCACGAAUACGUCCAACAAUUUAGACUAUUAUGUACACAAAAUAGACGCGUUUAUGGCUGAUCGUGUCUGUCUAUCCGUAUGUUUAAACUCGAGAACUACUGGACAGAUUUUGAUUAAAUUUGGUAUGGGCAUUAUGCCACAGAAGAA